GAUGAACGCUGGCGGUAUGCUUAACACAUGCAAGUCGAACGGACUCUUCGGAGUUAGUGGCGGACGGGUGAGUAACGCGUGAGAAUCUGGCUUUGGGUUCGGGACAACCACUGGAAACGGUGGCUAAUACCGGAUGUGCCGAGAGGUAAAAGAGAAAUUGCCUGAAGAUGAGCUCGCGUAUGAUUAGCUAGUUGGUGAGGUAAAGGCUCACCAAGGCAGCGAUCAGUAGCUGGUCUGAGAGGAUGACCAGCCACACUGGGACUGAGACACGGCCCAGACUCCUGCGGGCAGCAGCAGUGAGGAAUGUUCCGCAAUGGGCGGAAGGCUGACGGAGCAAUACGGCGGGAGGGAAGAAGGCUCGGGGGUUGAAAGCCUCUUUUCGUAAGGAAGAACAAAAUGACGGUACCGAAGGAAUCAGCAUCGGCUAACUCCUU
Molecule: ribosomal RNA, 434 nt
Filed under: uncultured bacterium
Lineage: Bacteria
Description: partial 16S ribosomal RNA
Rfam family: Bacterial small subunit ribosomal RNA
Source: RNAcentral